AGAAAGGCUGGGUGCGGCCUCAGCUGUACCUUGUCCCUGUGGAACACAGUAUAUGGGGGAUCUACCGUAAGGGCCCGAAGCUCCGACACCCGUCUCGCUGAUGUGAUGGCCACCAGGAAAGCGGUUUUCCAUGAGAGGUAGAGAAGGGAGCAAGUCGCUAAUGGUUAAAAUGGAGGGGACAUGAGCCGGGUCAGAACCAGGUUAAGGUCCCAGGUAGGGGCAGGGUGGCGAACCAGGGGGUAGAGACGCUCCAAGCCCUUAAGGAAUCUAGUCACCACAGGGUGAGAGACUACCGAGCGGCCAUCCCCCUCCGGUGAAAGAUGGAGAUGGCCGCCAGGUGAACCCGGAGAGAUGAUAUCGCUAGGCCCUGUUGCUUGAGGGACCAGAUGUAGUCUAAGAUACUGGCAAGAGAAACCACC
Molecule: non-coding RNA, 419 nt
Organism: Chelonoidis abingdonii (Abingdon island giant tortoise)
Lineage: Eukaryota; Metazoa; Chordata; Testudines; Testudinidae
Source: RefSeq, a predicted model, not a curated record